This 1566-nucleotide ribosomal RNA is filed under the name Candidatus Photodesmus katoptron Akat1. RNAcentral describes it as "bacterial SSU rRNA". It matches the Rfam family "Bacterial small subunit ribosomal RNA". The record is from RNAcentral. Lineage: Bacteria; Pseudomonadati; Pseudomonadota; Gammaproteobacteria; Vibrionales; Vibrionaceae.
AAAAGCUUUAAUUGAAGAGUUUGAUCAUGGCUCAGAUUGAACGCUGGCGGCAGGCCUAACACAUGCAAGUCGAGCGGAAACAACAGCUAUCCUUUUUUUAAAAGGAUAAUUGGUUGUCGAGCGGCGGACGGGUGAGUAAUGCCUAGGAAGUUGCCCAGUAGAGGGGGAUAACCAUUGGAAACGAUGGCUAAUACCGCAUAAACUCUUUGGAGAAAAGCAGGGGACCUUUUAUAGGCCUUGCGCUAUUGGAUACGCCUAGGUGGGAUUAGCUAGUUGGUAAGGUAAUGGCUUACCAAGGCGACGAUCCCUAGCUGGUCUGAGAGGAUGAACAGCCACACUGGAACUGAGACACGGUCCAGACUCCUACGGGAGGCAGCAGUGGGGAAUAUUGCACAAUGGGCGCAAGCCUGAUGCAGCCAUGCCGCGUGUGUGAAGAAGGCCUUAGGGUUGUAAAGCACUUUCAGCAGUGAGGAAGAAUAUGCAUCUAAUACAUGUAUAUUUUGACGUUAACUGCACAAGAAGCACCGGCUAACUCCGUGCCAGCAGCCGCGGUAAUACGGAGGGUGCGAGCGUUAAUCGGAAUUACUGGGCGUAAAGCGCAUGUAGGUGGUUUGAUAAGUUAGAUGUGAAAGCCCGGGGCUUAACCUCGGAACUGCAUUUAAAACUGUCAGACUAGAGUACUAUAGAGGGGGGUGGAAUUUCAGGUGUAGCGGUGAAAUGCGUAGAGAUCUGAAGGAAUACCAGUGGCGAAGGCGACCCCCUGGAUAGAUACUGACACUCAGAUGCGAAAGCGUGGGGAGCAAACAGGAUUAGAUACCCUGGUAGUCCAUGCCGUAAACGAUGUCUACUUGGAGGUUGUGGCCUUGAGCUGUAGCUUUCGUAGUUAACGCGUUAAGUAGACCGCCUGGGGAGUACGGUCGCAAGAUUAAAACUCAAAUGAAUUGACGGGGGCCCGCACAAGCGGUGGAGCAUGUGGUUUAAUUCGAUGCAACGCGAAGAACCUUACCUACUUUUGACAUCCAAAGAAGCCAGUAGAGAUACAGGUGUGCCUUCGGGAACUUUGAGACAGGUGCUGCAUGGCUGUCGUCAGCUCGUGUUGUGAAAUGUUGGGUUAAGUCCCGCAACGAGCGCAACCCUUGUCCUUGUUUGCCAGCGAGUAAUGUCGGGAACUUCAAGGAGACUGCCGGUGAGAAACCGGAGGAAGGUGGGGACGACGUCAAGUCAUCAUGGCCCUUACGAGUAGGGCUACACACGUGCUACAAUGGUGUAUACAAAGGGUUGCCAACCAGUAAUGGUAAGCUAAUCCCCUAAAGUACAUCGUAGUCCGGAUUGGAGUCUGCAACUCGACUCCAUGAAGUCGGAAUCGCUAGUAAUCGUAGAUCAGCACGCUACGGUGAAUACGUUCCCGGGCCUUGUACACACCGCCCGUCACACCAUGGGAGUGGGUUGCAAAAGAAGUGGGUAGUUUAACUUUCGAGAGGACGCUCACCACUUUGUGGUUCAUGACUGGGGUGAAGUCGUAACAAGGUAGCCCUAGGGGAACCUGGGGCUGGAUCACCUCCUUAA